Molecule: ribosomal RNA, 462 nt
Filed under: uncultured bacterium
Lineage: Bacteria
Description: partial 16S ribosomal RNA
Rfam family: Bacterial small subunit ribosomal RNA
Source: RNAcentral
CUACGGGGGGCUCCAGUGGGGAAUAUUGGACAAUGGGGGAAACCCUGAUCCAGCAAUGCCGCGUGUGUGAAGAAGGCCUGCGGGUUGUAAAGCACUUUCGGUUGGGAGGACUGCUUCUAGCACUAAUAUUGUUGGAAGUUGACGUUACCUUCAGAAGAAGCACCGGCUAACUCCGUGCCAGCAGCCGCGGUAUACGAGGGUGAAGCGUUAAUCGGAAUUACUGGGCGUAAAGCGCGCGUAGGCGGCUAGAUCAGUCGGGUGUGAAAGCCCCGGGCUUAACCUGGGAACUGCAUCCGAUACUGUCUAGCUUGAGUACAGGAGAGGAGAGUGGAAUUCCACAUGUAGCGGUGAAAUGCGUAGAUAUGUGGAGGAACACCAAUGGCGAAGGCAGCUCUCUGGCCUGAUACUGACGCUGAGGUGCGAAAGCGUGGGGAGCAAACAGGAUUAGAUACCCGUGUAGUC